RNAcentral lists this unclassified non-coding RNA (289 nucleotides) under uncultured fungus. Its description in RNAcentral is "partial contains 5.8S ribosomal RNA, internal transcribed spacer 2, and large subunit ribosomal RNA". The record is from RNAcentral. Lineage: Eukaryota; Fungi.
AACGCAUAUUGCGCUCGAGGCCUCGGCCAAGAGCAUGUCUGCCUCAGCGUCGGUUUCACCCUCGCUCAUGCUUUCCUCUUGUGGGAAAGCACUAGCGGAGAUGACCGUCUCGCUGCCGAAAGGUCUAGCGGGUCGGUUGAAGCACAGAGGCUCCAGCAAACACCCACUCGGGCGCUGGCUAGGUAGGUAGCUCCGGCUGCAUGCCGCCAGACAGCCUCGGACUUGCAUGUGAGCCAAUUAAUCACUAACCUUCGACCUGAGUUCAGGCAAGAGCACCCGCUGAACUUAA